GACGAACGCUGGCGGCGUGCUUAACACAUGCAAGUCGAACGAAGAGCGAUGGAAGCUUGCUUCUAUCAAUCUUAGUGGCGAACGGGUGAGUAACGCGUAAUCAACCUGCCCUUCAGAGGGGGACAACAGUUGGAAACGACUGCUAAUACCGCAUACGAUCUAAUCUCGGCAUCGAGGAUGGAUGAAAGGUGGCCUCUAUUUAUAAGCUAUCACUGAAGGAGGGGAUUGCGUCUGAUUAGCUAGUUGGAGGGGUAACGGCCCACCAAGGCGAUGAUCAGUAGCCGGUCUGAGAGGAUGAACGGCCACAUUGGGACUGAGACACGGCCCAGACUCCUACGGGAGGCAGCAGUGGGGAAUCUUCCGCAAUGGACGAAAGUCUGACGGAGCAACGCCGCGUGAGUGAUGGCGGCCUUCGGGUUGUAAAGCUCUGUUAAUCGGCUCGAAAGGCCUUCUUGCG
RNAcentral lists this ribosomal RNA (457 nucleotides) under Veillonella dispar. Its description in RNAcentral is "bacterial SSU rRNA". It matches the Rfam family "Bacterial small subunit ribosomal RNA", at positions 28 to 462 of the family's 1533-position model. Lineage: Bacteria; Bacillati; Bacillota; Negativicutes; Veillonellales; Veillonellaceae. The record is from RNAcentral.